RNAcentral lists this long non-coding RNA (603 nucleotides) under Rattus norvegicus (Norway rat). RNAcentral's name for it is "long non-coding RNA NONRATT014543". Lineage: Eukaryota; Metazoa; Chordata; Mammalia; Rodentia; Muridae. The record is from RNAcentral.
GUGGCCUAUGCCUGUCUGGGGUGGGACGUCUUUGCUAGAACCUGGGUUUGUUUCUUUGUCAGCUUUUCUCAAGCGUCCUGCGGAACAAAUAUUGAAGAGUAAGGUUUUGGAAGGAGGAAUCAUAGGUUCUGGAAAACCAAGAUUUCUGUUACACCAUCAGAGACUGGUGUCGUAAUAGCCGUAAGGACAGAGAUCCCCAAACCGUUAUUCAUUUUUGAGACUCAAAGCUGUGCGUAGGAAUCCUAGUUUCUCUGUGCUCCAGUGAUUAAACUUAAGUUUGAAAUCUUUAUUGACGAUGUAGUUCGUCAAUCGAUUUCCAUCGGUUUUGAAACCUCCAAAAUGUCAAAGGAGAACAUGAACGGAUAGAAACAGAUCACAAUGGAGUGGAUGCAGCUCGAAGCAGAUAAAAUUUUAUAUUUGUUUACUUUGUGGAAACGCCACGGGAGUCGAGUUUUUCCAACUCAGACCAUUCAUUAAAGAGUUUGCAUUCGGGAGCUGAACGUCUGUUCCCCAAGAUGAUGAAUGCUGACAUGGACGCAGUUGAUGCUGAAAAUCAAGUGGAACUGGAAGAAAAGACUCGACUCAUUAAUCAGGUGUUGGAGC